GGAAGCUACAGAUGUAGAUAUGUCAGCUGUCAUAGUUUUCGGUGACAAGAUUGCUGCAAAGCCUAAAAUCUUUACAAAGGUGAUAAAUUCCCUUAAGAAGCUGAUAAAGAUCCUCCCAUCUUCCUUUGCUUUCCCUGAAGCACUUAGAUUCUUCCUUAUUGUGCCUGUUCUUUUACGGCGGAUGGAUAUCAAAUCAGAUUCUCUUCUUACUGAACUUGCUCAAGUAAUUGUGACUCUCCAACAAGAAGACCAGCAAGUGCUUGAAACUUUGUGGACCAAUAUGGAAGUUGCGUUCUUCAAGGAUCUAGUGGACAUGUUUCGAAGACUUGUCAGUAAUAAGCUAUUAUCUUUCAUGAACAGUAGAAUAUUUGUGGCAGACCAAAACAAGGACUUAAGUUUGCCUCUCCAAGUACUCCAGAUGCUUUAUAAGGUAGGCGGACUGCUGAUCUCAAGGCAUGAGAAAUCACAUAAAAGGAGAU
Molecule: long non-coding RNA, 479 nt
Filed under: Salvator merianae (Argentine black and white tegu)
Lineage: Eukaryota; Metazoa; Chordata; Lepidosauria; Squamata; Teiidae
Description: lncRNA (ENSSMRG00000012953.1)
Source: RNAcentral